CAUUUAUUAGAUAAAAAGCCAAUGCAUGCUUUUACAGUAUGGAAAUUGGUGAUUUAUAAUAACUUGGCAAAUCGCAAAGUGAAAACAGGCGAUAAAUCAUUCAAGUUUCUGACCUAUCAGCUUUCGACGGUAUGGUAUUGGCUUACCGUGGCAGUGACGGUUAACGGGGGAUUAGGGUUCGAUUCCGGAGAGGGAGCCUGAGAAACGGCUACCACAUCUAAGGAAGGCAGCAGGCGCGCAAAUUACCCAAUUCUAACAGUUUGAGAGAGGUAGUAACAAGAAAUAACAAUACAAGGCAAUUAAAAUGCUUUGUAAUUGGAAUGAUAGAAAUUUAAACCCUUUUUAAAGUAUCAAUUGGAGGGCAAGUCUGGUGCCAGCAGCCGCGGUAAUUCCAGCUCCAAUAGCGUAUAUUAAAAUUGUUGCAGUUAAAAAGCUCGUAGUUGAAGUUCUGCUAAAAGUAACCGGUCUGCUUUUAAUAAAAGUGGUAUCUUGGUGUGUAUUUAGCAAUGAUGUCCUUUGAAGUGUUUUUUACUUUAUUGUAAUAAAGCAUAUUCAGGACUUUUACUUUGAGAAAAUUAGAGUGUUUCUAGCAGGCCGACGCUUUGAAUACUGCAGCAUGGAAAUAAUAAGA
Molecule: ribosomal RNA, 631 nt
Filed under: Hepatozoon canis
Lineage: Eukaryota; Apicomplexa; Hepatozoidae
Description: SSU rRNA
Rfam family: Eukaryotic small subunit ribosomal RNA
Source: RNAcentral